GAUCCUGGCUCAGAACGAACGCUGGCGGCAGGCCUAACACAUGCAAGUCGAGCGCGCCCUUCGGGGUGAGCGGCGGACGGGUUAGUAACGCGUGGGAACGUACCCUUUGGUAGGGAAUAGCCACUGGAAACGGUGAGUAACACCCUAUGAGCCCUUCGGGGGAAAGAUUUAUCGCCAAAGGAUCGGCCCGCGUUAGAUUAGGUAGUUGGUGGGGUAAUGGCCUACCAAGCCUACGAUCUAUAGCUGGUUUUAGAGGAUGAUCAGCAACACUGGGACUGAGACACGGCCCAGACUCCUACGGGAGGCAGCAGUGGGGAAUCUUGGACAAUGGGGGCAACCCUGAUCCCAGCCAUGCCGCGUGAGUGAAGAAGGCCUUAGGGUCGUAAAGCUCUUUCGCCUGUGAAGAUAAUGACGGUAGCAGGUAAAGAAACCCCGGCUAACUCCGUGCCAGCCGCAGC
Molecule: ribosomal RNA, 458 nt
Filed under: uncultured bacterium
Lineage: Bacteria
Description: bacterial SSU rRNA
Rfam family: Bacterial small subunit ribosomal RNA
Source: RNAcentral